GAGAUGUGAAAGGGAGAGAAGCCGAGACACGCCGACGCUAUAUCGAUUUGGCGACUGAACUACUUGGUAUAUGGGCUUCAUCAUGCGACGCACAUCAGUACCAGUGGGUAGACGGGAGAGAAUAGAAAAGCGUACUAGUACCUCAACAACGUGAGAUGGGAUAUUGUGAGAUGAUCCUAUCCAGGAAAGGAGUGAGGAGACACCUUCUUAGUUGGCAAGAGACUUUCUUGGAAGCGCAACAAGACAGCCAGUCCAACCUAAUCUGGAAGUCAAGGACGUCGAUACGCAACAAAGAAUUAAAUGGUAUACUCCAAGAUAGAGAGUUAUAUAUAAUACAAAAUACAGGAUGUCAGACUGAAGACAUUUAGAUAUUCCAUGAAUUUAUCCAAAUAAAUAAUUUAACAAAGAAAAUAUAAUAAUGUAUAUUGCACGUGUAUGCACAUUUAUUUGAGAGCGGAGAGUGAGAAGUAAGUUAUUAAUAGCCAGUCUAAACUUGUGCUUUAGCAAAAUAUGAUAUGAUUAUAUUUGAAUAAAUAAUUUGACUAUGUAGAACCAAGUUGAUACAUCACAGUAGAGUGGAAUGAACUCAUUUGUCGUUGAUCGUUGAUCGUGUAGUACACAAAGUAUGGUAAUAUGGUGGUGCAUUGACCGAGGUCGUCGAUAAAUAAAUCAUUAAAUAAUUUAAUUGAUGAAGAAGAUUAAUCGAUCGAUCAUUAUUGUAAAAUGUUGAGUAGCCGAAAAAGGUGCGGCUCGAGCAUGCGUGAAUCGAAUGCAACUAAAACCAACAAGAUAGGCAAGAAAAGUCUUCGCAUAUAUACCAAGAGAACUGAUUCGAAACAAAAAAAGAUGAAAACGAUGAAGAUGAAGAUGAAGAAGAAAUAAAACAAACCCUUCGCCGAAAUCGGCAUUGAGAAGAUCGCAAUUUCCAAGGAUUUCAACCGAGCAUUCGCAUCGCGGAUUCUGGUCUGGUAUACAACCAACGACCAAUUGAAGGGAAUGAAAUAACAGAAGAGAACCUGGAGCUGGAGCUGGAGAGCACCAUAGCGUAGAGGACGAUGCACUCAAUGAGCAAGAGUCUUUGUGUCGCUCAGCUGGAUUUCUGAAUCCAUUAAGAGGAGGGUGCCUCUGAUCUUCGUCUCUGACUAACGCGUUCUACAGAUUUACAUCCCACAUCUUUUUUAACGCCCACUUAAACUGACACUCAUUUGUGUCCUCUUUAACUUUACUACACAUCAGUGCAUGAACGUAUAUCAAUUACAUGCACAAAUUGUUUAUUUAUAUUUAUACUUAUCCUUGUGGACAAUAAAUAUAAAAGACGGAUAUAGGAAGAAAAUCGAGUUAAUCUUAUCGAGACAGAACGAUUUUGCUGAUAAAGAUUUAGUAAAAGCAAAAUCCAGCCAUGAUAAUAAUAAUAAAAAUAGUAAUAUUAAUAGUCUCAAAUGAGAAUUGUGCAGUUUGGAACGAUAUCAUUUGAUAUUUAUAAUACAUGAUUGUAUGCAUUGUCUUCAUUAUACACGAUAUGACAAAUCGAAACUCUUGUACUGCACGCAAACAAAUAAAACCAACACAGCAAAUGAAAA
This 1580-nucleotide long non-coding RNA is filed under the name Cotesia glomerata. Its description in RNAcentral is "uncharacterized LOC123258517, transcript variant X2". The record is from RNAcentral. Lineage: Eukaryota; Metazoa; Arthropoda; Insecta; Hymenoptera; Braconidae.